Molecule: ribosomal RNA, 414 nt
Filed under: uncultured microorganism
Description: bacterial SSU rRNA
Rfam family: Archaeal small subunit ribosomal RNA
Source: RNAcentral
CAGCAGCCGCGGUAAUACCGGCGGCCCGAGUGGCGGUCACUAUUAUUGGGCCUAAAGCGUCCGUAGCCGGGCUGGUAAGGCCUCCGGGAAAUCUGGUCGCUUAACGAUCAGACUUCCGGAGGAUACUGCUGGCCUAGGGACCGGGAGAGGCCGAGGGGAUUCCCGGGGUAGGGGUGAAAUCCUGUAAUCCCGGGAGGACCACCUGUGGCGAAGGCGCUCGGCUGGAACGGGUCCGACGGUGAGGGACGAAGGCCAGGGGAGCGAACCGGAUUAGAUACCCGGGUAGUCCUGGCUGUAAACGAUGCGGACUAGGUGUCGGGCAAGCUAAGGGCUUGUCCGGUGCCGCAGGGAAGCCGUUAAGUCCGCCGCCUGGGGAGUACGGCCGCAAGGCUGAAACUUAAAGGAAUUGGCGGG